UAGUAUUAAAUUCAUGCUAUAUACCCAAUGUCACCAAUGGCUUAUGGGCCACCAUAAUAGCUAGCCUCAAAACAUGCCCGGUGAAUGGUAGAUGCCUUGUAAAUCACCAUAAUCAAGGAAAGAAACAGUUUUGGAUAAUAAAUGUAAAAAGUAUACAUAUACCUAAAAAUGAUGAAUAAUUUGUAUUUUAUAUAGUGAAAAGUCACCAUACAUCCAUAUAGAACUAAGCUUAUAGUUGGACUAAUAUUACUUCAUAGACAAUUAAAUAACCAAGAAAGAAAAGGAUCAAUAAAUACAUAUCUUAAUGGUUCCAAUGAUGUAGCAUCAUGUAAAUUGUCAUUCUGCAAUCAUUUACAGUGUUACUUGCAAUAAGAUUAAGCCAAUGACCGUUGUGCCCUGAAAAAUCACCAGCCUUUGAGCUGACAGAUGAAAAUGAGAUAAUGUUUACCAAAACUUUCAUUUUCACUCUGGCAGAGAAGGCACAGUAGCACCAUAGUCAAUGUCCACCUCACUUGAGGAGGCUGCAAUGAUGCUACCAGACUGAAGAUGUCCUACAGUGAACCCUCUUCGUUGCUUUGCUAUUUGGCUGUGACUGUGAGAGCCAUAUCUUCAAAAGUGAUUCUAUCUACUUGUCGCCUGAACUUAGAAUUCCCGAUGGAUGAAAUUUAGCCUGCCUCUGCGGUUAUUAUUAAUUACUCAUUACUCAACAUGCUUUCUAGGAUAUAUUGCUCUUCUAUUUCAAGAUAGACAAAGAUAUAUUAGUAAGUUUCAGUGAAAAGAUUACAACUCAGUAAGCACAAGUCCAAAACCUAGAAUACUGGGAGAAUAGAAAAUGCAAAGGUUGGGCCAGAUGUGUCAUAGGAAUUGCAUUUUUUCAAAUCAAAAUUCCUUGAGAUACAAAACUAUUAUUUGAAAAUUUCAAAUUUUAUUAUCCUUGCACUAAUGAUAGUUCAUAUGAAUGUCUCAUUUUAGGAUUGCUGAUGCGGAGGAAAACUUAGGUGAGAGUGAAGUUUGUGAGGCUCACUUGGCAAAAUCCUUGUUUUUCAUCUGGAUUGGGGACAAGGUAUGUAUAUCUAUUAUAAUUUAUUUUACACUGUUGCAGGAGAAAGCCUUGGAACAUCUCAAGAUAACAGAAACCAAGACUGUUGCAGUUGGGCAGAAGAUGGACCUGGUAUUUUAUACAUUGCAGCUUGGUUUCUUUGGCAUGGAUUUUGAUCUCAUUUCCAAAAGCAUUGACAAAGCUAAAAGGUAAUUCUUUGAAUCUCAAAUAUCUCU
RNAcentral lists this long non-coding RNA (1275 nucleotides) under Medicago truncatula (barrel medic). Its description in RNAcentral is "long non-coding RNA (MTRU_LNC006169)". The record is from RNAcentral. Lineage: Eukaryota; Viridiplantae; Streptophyta; Magnoliopsida; Fabales; Fabaceae.